ACUUUCUAAUUUGACCCUUUAAUCCGAAAAGAUGUACUUUUAGUAAGAAUCUUUCACUUUUACUCUUAAGAGAGGGACUUGUUGGUCUCAGUCAUUUAAUUUUACACCCAAAAGGUGCAUUGGUUGAUCAAAAUCAUUCAUUCAUCUUUGCAUUAUGCAUUGUUGCAAGUAGUUGUGAUUGGGUUUGACACCCGCAAAAGCUUUUGAUGAUA
This 212-nucleotide long non-coding RNA is filed under the name Capsicum annuum. RNAcentral's name for it is "long non-coding RNA (CANN_LNC006286)". The record is from RNAcentral. Lineage: Eukaryota; Viridiplantae; Streptophyta; Magnoliopsida; Solanales; Solanaceae.